AAAGGUAGCAUAAUCAUUUGGCUUAUAAUUGAAGUCUGGCAUGAAUGAAUUAAUGGGGAACAUCUGUCUAUAAUAUUCUAUUAGAAUUUAAUUAAUAAGUGAAAAUUCUUAUAAAUAAAUAAAAGACGAGAAGACCCUAGAAAUUUUAUUUAUUCUAGUAUAAUACUAUAUCAUUUUGUUGGGGCGACAGAAUAACAGAUAACUUAUUUUAUUUAAUUAGCAUUAUGUAUUAUGUAAAAUUAAAUUACUCUAGGGAUAACAGCAUAAUUUAUAAAAGUUUGUGACCUCGAUGUUGGACUAGGAAAUUUAAUAUUCAAAAGGUAUUAAAAUUUGCUCUGUUCGAGCAUUAACUCCUACAU
RNAcentral lists this ribosomal RNA (359 nucleotides) under Helicopsis striata. Its description in RNAcentral is "partial large subunit ribosomal RNA". Lineage: Eukaryota; Metazoa; Mollusca; Gastropoda; Stylommatophora; Geomitridae. The record is from RNAcentral.